GAAAGAGGGGGAGAUGUUGGCAAAAACCCUCCGUGCGUUCUUGCACUGUCGGAUUGACCAGACAGAGCAACAAAGCUGAUAAAACAGGAUUAGCAAAAUUGCAUUGUUGGGUAUGAUAUGCUGUGUGACAUGUACUACAGCAAAGGAAUUUGGCAGGAUUAACCUGCGGAGGAUAAAGAUGUACCAGACAAGCGGGCUGAAUUAAUAGACUGCUGUGACCAAAGCAAGGAAAUCUAUUUGCAUGGAAUAUUAGCAGCGAGAGCAGAGCUGUGCUGGAGGAGUUGCACUUGCUGUCCUGUGUGCAGCCGGGGACCGGGCUCUCCAGGCAGCAAUUCAGAGCGAAGAAAGCAGCUCGGCUCGCAGCACCAGCCGGCACGAGAGAGCGCAGUGCUCGCUCUGCUGCUUCCUCAGCUGCUGAGGAAAUGGGACACGAGUGGAAAUGGCUUCAGUGUUCCCAUGGAACAGGGGAUGUGCAGAACGCGUUGGGCAUUACUCUCGGUGCGGCACAGUGUGCACAGCGCUGCGGCACGCAGGGAGGGACCUCUCAGCAUCUGGUCACCUUCAGCCAGCGUUGCCAAGUCACUGCUGCUCGGGAGCAGCCAGAGCACGGCUUUCACUUUCAGGCUCUUCCUUCCCCGUGCUGAAGCUGAGUAACAGAUUUGCAUAAAAUAUGAAUACGCUGUUUUGUUUCUUGUAGCGCCCUGUAUUAAAAUUUCAGAAACCA
Molecule: long non-coding RNA, 724 nt
Organism: Gallus gallus (chicken)
Lineage: Eukaryota; Metazoa; Chordata; Aves; Galliformes; Phasianidae
Source: Ensembl